UAACGACUCUCGGCAACGGAUAUCUCGGCUCUCGCAUCGAUGAAGAACGUAGCGAAAUGCGAUACUUGGUGUGAAUUGCAGAAUCCCGUGAACCAUCAAGUCUUUGAACGCAAGUUGCGCCCGAAGCCAGUAGGCCGAGGGCACGCCUGCCUGGGUGUCUCGCA
Molecule: ribosomal RNA, 164 nt
Filed under: Englerophytum magalismontanum
Lineage: Eukaryota; Viridiplantae; Streptophyta; Magnoliopsida; Ericales; Sapotaceae
Description: 5.8S ribosomal RNA
Rfam family: 5.8S ribosomal RNA
About the family: 5.8S ribosomal RNA (5.8S rRNA) is a component of the large subunit of the eukaryotic ribosome. It is transcribed by RNA polymerase I as part of the 45S precursor that also contains 18S and 28S rRNA.
Source: RNAcentral